GAGAGGCCCAGCGGGAGUCGCGGAACAGCAGGCCCGAGCCCACCGCGCCGGGGCCCGGACGCCGCGCGGAAAAGAUGAAUUUACGACCAAUUUUCUGGAUUGGACUGAUCAGUUCAGUUUGCUGUGUGUUUGCUCAAACAGAUGAAAAUAGAUGUUUAAAAGCAAAUGCCAAAUCAUGUGGAGAAUGUAUACAAGCAGGGCCAAAUUGUGGGUGGUGCACAAAUUCAACAUUUUUACAGGAAGGAAUGCCUACUUCUGCACGAUGUGAUGAUUUAGAAGCCUUAAAAAAGAAGGGUUGUCCUCUAGAUGACAUAGAAAAUCCCAGAGGCUCCAAAGAUAUAAAGAAAAAUAAAAAUGUAACCAACCGUAGCAAAGGAACAGCAGAGAAGCUCAAGCCAGAGGAUAUUACUCAGAUCCAACCACAGCAGUUGGAUUUGGCUCAUUUGUGGAAAAGACUGUGAUGCCUUACAUUAGCACAACACCAGCUAAGCUCAGGAACCCUUGCACAAGUGAACAGAACUGCACCAGCCCAUUUAGCUACAAAAAUGUGCUCAGUCUUACUAAUAAAGGAGAAAUAUUU
Molecule: small RNA, 580 nt
Filed under: Pan troglodytes (chimpanzee)
Lineage: Eukaryota; Metazoa; Chordata; Mammalia; Primates; Hominidae
Description: processed transcript
Source: RNAcentral